CCUACGGGAGGCUGCAGUGAGGAAUAUUGGUCAAUGGACGAGAGUCUGAACCAGCCAAGUAGCGUGAAGGAUGACUGCCCUAUGGGUUGUAAACUUCUUUUAUAUGGGAAUAAAAUGUUCCACGUGUGGGAUUUUGUAUGUACCAUAUGAAUAAGGAUCGGCUAACUCCGUGCCAGCAGCCGCGGUAAUACGGAGGUUCCGAACGUUAUCCGGAUUUAUUGGGUUUAAAGGGAGCGUAGGUGGAUUGUUAAGUUAGUUGUGAAAGUUUGCGGCUCAACCGUAAAAUUGCAGUUGAAACUGGCAGUCUUGAGUACAGUAGAGGUGGGCGGAAUUCGUGGUGUAGCGGUGAAAUGCUUAGAUAUCACGAAGAACUCCGAUUGCGAAGGCAGUUCACUGGACUGCAACUGACACUGAGGCUCGAAAGUGUGGGUAUCAAACAGGAUUAGAUACCCCAGUAGUC
This 460-nucleotide ribosomal RNA is filed under the name uncultured bacterium. RNAcentral describes it as "partial 16S ribosomal RNA". It matches the Rfam family "Bacterial small subunit ribosomal RNA", at positions 338 to 795 of the family's 1533-position model. The record is from RNAcentral.